ACGAAUUACAGCAAAGACACAAAUGGC
RNAcentral lists this small RNA (27 nucleotides) under Bombyx mori (domestic silkworm). Its description in RNAcentral is "ovarian small RNA-11425". The record is from RNAcentral. Lineage: Eukaryota; Metazoa; Arthropoda; Insecta; Lepidoptera; Bombycidae.